Non-coding RNA from Saimiri boliviensis boliviensis (Bolivian squirrel monkey), 1686 nucleotides. The record is from RefSeq and is a predicted model, not a curated record. NCBI's taxonomy places the organism in Eukaryota, Metazoa, Chordata, Mammalia, Primates, Cebidae.
GAUGCUGAUCAGGAAGCAGCAGCUGCAAGCCCAGUCACGGGCGGCUCAGUGACCAUCAGCCCAGUGACCCGCAGCCAGGUCUUCACCUGGGUCCUCUCAGUGAAGCCAGGGGGGCCACCCCAGCAGACAAAGCUACUGAGCCAUCUCCUGACAGUUGCUCCAGUGCAGUAAAUGUAAUUUGAAGAAGGCAGAAGGAACCCAUGGCUUUAGCCGGUUGCCCAGAUUCCUUUUUGUACCAUCCCUACUACCAGGACAAAGUGGAGCAGACACCUCGCAAUCAACAAGACCUGGCAAGACCAGGGCUCCAUGCACAGCCUGACCAACUCGUUCUGGAAUUUCUUCCCAGAACAGACAGUUACUUGGGGCCAGCAGUCAAAUGGCAGUCAAAGCCAGCUUUUGCAGAAUUUUCUGAACUCCAGUAGCUGUCCUGAAAAGUCAAGGAUUUUUGCACGUGAAAGAGCUGGGAAAGAAAUCAUGGAAAAAGCAUAUGUAAUAUGUGUGUUUGUGGAGAUCUGGCCUUUAUUGCUCCACAAAGGGAACUUCAAAGGAACCCAGACACCUACAGCUGCUGGCAGACCUGGAGGACCGCAGCACCUUCUUGAUCGCCGGCAGGACGCAGUCCAGCGCCCCCACAGACCACGGGCUCUGCGUAAAGCCAAAGUCAGGAACGAAACUAAAGAGCUGAGGUUGCUCUGUGCAGAGGGUGAGCAAACCAGGGCAUGCUGGAUGACAGCGUUCAGACUCCUCGAGCCCGGAAUGCUCCUUUACCGGAAAUAACCGCAUCCCUCAGCAGAGGAAGGCCUUGCUGUCCCCAUUCUCAACGCCAGUGCGCAGUGUCUCCAAGGUCUCCCUCGUGGCGAUGGAUUUUUCUGGGCAAACAGGAGGCGUGAUAGAGAAUCCGGCGGAGGCCCAGAGUGCAGACCCAGAAGCAGGCCACGCCUGGCGGAAGCGAAGCACACCGCUGAACAUACUAGGCAGCCCACGUCCCCUCCACCCGUCUACCCUAAGUACCGUGAUCCACAGGACACAGCACUGGUUUCACGGGAGGAUCUCCAGGGAGGAAUCCCACAGGAUCAUUAAACAGCAAGGGCUGGUGGACGGGCUUUUUCUCCUCCGUGACAGCCAGAGUAAUCCAAAGGCAUUUGUACUCACACUGUGUCAUCACCAGAAAAUUAAAAAUGUCCAGAUCUUACCUUGCGAGGACGACGGGCAGAUGUUCUUCAGCCUAGAUGACGGGAACACCAAACUCUCUGACCUGAUCCAGCUGGUCGACUUUGACCAACUGAACAAAGGAGCCCUGCCUUGCAAACUCAAGCACCACUGCAUCCGAGUGGCCUUAUGACCGCAGACGGCCUCUCGGCUGAAGACUGGAGGAAGUAAACACUGGAGCGAAGAAGCAGUCUGUGAGUUAGUUAAGAUCACACGUCGAUUCUGCACCUGGGGACCCAGAGUGAGAUGGGUUCAUUCGGUGCCAGCCGACGAAGAUUGACUAGUUUGUUGGACUUAAACGACGAUUUGCUGCUGUGAACCCAGCAGAAUCGCCUCCCUCUGCAUCGGCCAUAUUGGGGAGUACAUGAAAGAUCCAGCGCAAAUUUGAGAAUAAACUGAAAUGAUCAUCUUGUCUUGUGCCGCUUAGGAGCAAGAACUGGAGAGAAAUGAUUGGAAAUGAACUCCUGCCCUGGAAUA